This 305-nucleotide ribosomal RNA is filed under the name uncultured bacterium. Its description in RNAcentral is "bacterial SSU rRNA". It matches the Rfam family "Bacterial small subunit ribosomal RNA", at positions 338 to 658 of the family's 1533-position model. The record is from RNAcentral.
CCUACGGGGGGCAGCAGUGGGGAAUAUUGCACAAUGGGGGAAACCCUGAUGCAGCAACGCCGCGUGAAGGAAGACGGUUUUCGGAUUGUAAACUUCUAUCAAUAGGGAAGAAAGAAAUGACGGUACCUGCAGAAGAAGCCCCGGCUAACUACGUGCCAGCAGCCGCGGUAAUACGUAGGGGGCGAGCGUUAUCCGGAUUCAUUGGGCGUAAAGCGCGCGUAGGCGGCCCGCUAAGCGGGACCUCUAACCUGGGGGCUCAACCUCCAGCCGGGUCCCGAACUGGCGAGCUCGAGUGCGGUAGGGGC